RNAcentral lists this ribosomal RNA (546 nucleotides) under uncultured bacterium. RNAcentral's name for it is "partial 16S ribosomal RNA". It matches the Rfam family "Bacterial small subunit ribosomal RNA", at positions 356 to 911 of the family's 1533-position model. The record is from RNAcentral.
GGGGAAUAUUGCACAAUGGGCGAAAGCCUGAUGCAGCGACGCCGCGUGCGGGAUGAAGGCCUUCGGGUUGUAAACCGCUUUUAAUUGGGAGCAAGCGAGAGUGAGUGUACCUUUUGAAUAAGCACCGGCUAACUACGUGCCAGCAGCCGCGGUAAUACGUAGGGUGCAAGCGUUAUCCGGAAUUAUUGGGCGUAAAGAGCUCGUAGGCGGUUUGUCACGCCUGGUGUGAAAGUCCAUCGCUUAACGGUGGAUCUGCGCCGGGUACGGGCAGGCUAGAGUGCAGUAGGGGAGAUUGGAAUUCCCGGUGUAACGGUGGAAUGUGUAGAUAUCGGGAAGAACACCAAUGGCGAAGGCAGAUCUCUGGGCUGUUACUGACGCUGAGGAGCGAAAGCAUGGGGAGCGAACAGGAUUAGAUACCCUGGUAGUCCAUGCCGUAAACGGUGGAUGCUGGAUGUGGGACCCUUCCACGGGUUCCGUGUCGGAGCUAACGCGUUAAGCAUCCCGCCUGGGGAGUACGGCCGCAAGGCUAAAACUCUAAAGUGAAUU